AUAUUAUAUCAUUAUAUAAAUUAUAUUAUAAAAUAUUAUAAUAUAAAUAAUAUGGGUCGCCAAUUCAAAUAAUAUUUUCUGAUUUUUGAUUUUUUUUUUUAAAUUACCCAUAUGGGUCGCGGUUUGAAAGCGCGCCCCACACAUAUAUAUUUGUGUUUGGGUCGCUCUUUCAAAGCGCGACCCUUACUGGAAUAUAUUUCUGGUGUGGGUCGCGUUUUCUCCACUCAUUUAGACUGGUUAGUUUUGAAAACUCGAAAAAAAACUGGUUAGAAAUGAAAAGUGGCUGAAUGAAUUGGUUAGAAAUGAGAGGGAGCC
Molecule: long non-coding RNA, 315 nt
Filed under: Daucus carota (carrot)
Lineage: Eukaryota; Viridiplantae; Streptophyta; Magnoliopsida; Apiales; Apiaceae
Description: long non-coding RNA (DCAR_LNC002237)
Source: RNAcentral